RNAcentral lists this ribosomal RNA (161 nucleotides) under uncultured fungus. RNAcentral's name for it is "partial 5.8S ribosomal RNA". Lineage: Eukaryota; Fungi. The record is from RNAcentral.
CCUUCGGUCCAUUGGCGGGAANGGAAGGAACGCAAGGCGAAAAUGGCGAAUAAAGUAAAUGGUGGAAUAGCAGGAAUUCAGGGGAAUUCAUCGAAUCUUUUGGAACGCACAUUGCGCCCCUUGGUAUUUCCGAGGGGCAUGCCUGUUUCGAGUCGUCAUUA